This 253-nucleotide ribosomal RNA is filed under the name uncultured bacterium. RNAcentral describes it as "partial 16S ribosomal RNA". It matches the Rfam family "Bacterial small subunit ribosomal RNA", at positions 524 to 776 of the family's 1533-position model. The record is from RNAcentral.
UACGUAGGGGGCUAGCGUUGUCCGGAAUCAUUGGGCGUAAAGCGCGUGUAGGCGGUUCGGUAAGUCCGCUGUGAAAGUCGGGGGCUCAACCCUCGAAUGCCGGUGGAUACUGUCGGACUAGAGUACGGAAGAGGCGAGUGGAAUUCCUGGUGUAGCGGUGAAAUGCGCAGAUAUCAGGAGGAACACCAAUUGCGAAGGCAGCUCGCUGGGACGGUACUGACGCUGAGGCGCGAAAGCGUGGGGAGCAAACAGG